UACGUAGGUGGCAAGCGUUGUCCGGAAUUAUUGGGCGUAAAGGGCGUGUAGGUGGAUUUUUAAGUCGUGUGUCUAAGUGCGGGGCUCAACCUCGUAUAGGCGCAGGAAACUGGGAAUCUUGAGUGCAGGAGAGGAAAGUGGAAUUCCCAGUGUAGCGGUGAAAUGCGUAGAUAUUGGGAGGAACACCAGUGGCGAAGGCGACUUUCUGGACUGUGUCUGACACUGAGGCGCGAAAGCUAGGGGAGCGAACGGG
RNAcentral lists this ribosomal RNA (253 nucleotides) under uncultured bacterium. Its description in RNAcentral is "partial 16S ribosomal RNA". It matches the Rfam family "Bacterial small subunit ribosomal RNA", at positions 524 to 776 of the family's 1533-position model. The record is from RNAcentral.